Molecule: microRNA precursor, 88 nt
Organism: Colobus angolensis palliatus
Lineage: Eukaryota; Metazoa; Chordata; Mammalia; Primates; Cercopithecidae
Source: Ensembl
AUCAUACUAAGUUGGUGCAAAAGUAAUUGCGGUUUUUGACAUUACUUUUAAUGGCAAAAACCACAAUUACCUUUGUACCUACCUAAUA